Molecule: long non-coding RNA, 456 nt
Filed under: Lathyrus oleraceus (garden pea)
Lineage: Eukaryota; Viridiplantae; Streptophyta; Magnoliopsida; Fabales; Fabaceae
Description: Pisum sativum (pea) long non-coding RNA (PSAT_LNC026405)
Source: RNAcentral
UUCUCAUCACCUUUUGUGUGAGAAGUUUGUACAUCUCUUUUCUUAACUGUAUUUGGAAGCUCCCCUUUCUGUCUCUAAGGAGCCAUUGCUAACUGUUGUACGAGAAGGUCACUUCUCAGUGGAGUUACUUGCCUUUUACAAGACAUUUCCCUGCCUUUUACAAGAGAUCUUAUUUCAGGUUUAUAUUCUUUGGUAUUUUCCUUUUCCAAACACAUAAUUCCCUUACCUUCAUGGAAUCCUGCAGGAAUACUUAGAUCACUCGUUACAUGACAAAACUUGUUAGUGGAGGCAAGAAGAAAAAAAUUGAAAAAAUAAAAGAGAAAAAAAAGAAUGAGAAAGACAAAAAAAAUAUCAGUCAUGCACUGCAUACAUAGCAUAUUUCAUACUUCAUGCAUACUAUUUUGAAACAUCCUCUUUGUACAUCUGACCCAUUUUCCCUCCACAUAUAUUUCAGUU